GCCAAAGUAGCUCAAUCGGUAGAGCGCAAGACUGGCUUUUCUUGUCGUUGUUGGUUCAAGUCCAGCCUUUGGCG
This 74-nucleotide transfer RNA is filed under the name Spirochaetota bacterium. RNAcentral describes it as "Spirochaetes bacterium tRNA-Pro". It matches the Rfam family "tRNA". Rfam says of the family: Transfer RNA (tRNA) molecules are approximately 80 nucleotides in length. Their secondary structure includes four short double-helical elements and three loops (D, anti-codon, and T loops). The record is from RNAcentral. Lineage: Bacteria; Pseudomonadati; Spirochaetota.